This 484-nucleotide ribosomal RNA is filed under the name uncultured bacterium. RNAcentral describes it as "partial 16S ribosomal RNA". It matches the Rfam family "Bacterial small subunit ribosomal RNA", at positions 30 to 507 of the family's 1533-position model. The record is from RNAcentral.
AUUGAACGCUGGCGGCAGGCCUAACACAUGCAAGUCGAGCGGAUGAAGGGAGCUUGCUCCUGGAUUCAGCGGCGGACGGGUGAGUAAUGCCUAGGAAUCUGCCUGGUAGUGGGGGCUAACGUCCGGAAACGGGCGCUAAUACCGCAUACGUCCUGAGGGAGAAAGUGGGGGAUCUUCGGACCUCACGCUAUCAGAUGAGCCUAGGUCGGAUUAGCUAGUUGGUGGGGUAAAGGCCUACCAAGGCGACGAUCCGUAACUGGUCUGAGAGGAUGAUCAGUCACACUGGAACUGAGACACGGUCCAGACUCCUACGGGAGGCAGCAGUGGGGAAUAUUGGACAAUGGGCGAAAGCCUGAUCCAGCCAUGCCGCGUGUGUGAAGAAGGUCUUCGGAUUGUAAAGCACUUUAAGUAGGGAGGAAGGGCAGUAAGUUAAUACCUUGCUGUUUUGACGUUACCAACAGAAUAAGCACCGGCUAACUUCGUG